RNAcentral lists this ribosomal RNA (253 nucleotides) under uncultured bacterium. Its description in RNAcentral is "partial 16S ribosomal RNA". It matches the Rfam family "Bacterial small subunit ribosomal RNA", at positions 524 to 776 of the family's 1533-position model. The record is from RNAcentral.
UACGAAGGGUGCUAGCGUUGUUCGGAAUCACUGGGCGUAAAGCGCGCGUAGGCGGCUAUGCAAGUCAGAGGUGAAAUGCCGGGGCUUAACCCCGGAACUGCCUUUGAAACUGCAUAGCUAGAGACUCGGAGGGGAUAGGGGAAUUUCUAAUGUAGCGGUGAAAUGCGUAGAUAUUAGAAGGAACACCGGUGGCGAAGGCGCCUAUCUGGACGAGUACUGACGCUGAGGCGCGAAAGCGUGGGGAUCAAACAGG